RNAcentral lists this non-coding RNA (21 nucleotides) under Xenopus tropicalis (tropical clawed frog). Lineage: Eukaryota; Metazoa; Chordata; Amphibia; Anura; Pipidae. The record is from RNAcentral. RNAcentral also lists the same sequence under 9 other names.
GUGAACCUGCGGAAGGAUCAU